AGGCUGUUAAUCUGGGAAGAUCACUACUAUGAACCCUUGCCAUCUCCUUUCCCUCCACGUACUGUUGGGGUGUCUAAUUUUCCAUACCGAGACGGGGAAGGGUGCUGGUUUUCUUCUGAGUCUCAACUGGGGAUUCAGGAGGAGGACAGAGUCGGUGGAUUGAUUAACAAAAUGAUGUUGAAUAAUUCAGUCAGUAUUGCUGGAGAAGGGAUGGUUGGACGGGCAACAUUUACAGGAAACUAUCAGUGGAUUCUUAUGAACAAUUUCAGUGGAGAUGCAUAUCCACCAGAGGUAUAUUCUGAGUUGCAUUACCAA
This 315-nucleotide small RNA is filed under the name Vigna angularis var. angularis. Its description in RNAcentral is "Non-protein coding transcript". The record is from RNAcentral. Lineage: Eukaryota; Viridiplantae; Streptophyta; Magnoliopsida; Fabales; Fabaceae.